GGUACCUGUGAACAAGGGCUUCGGGAAGUUGGGAAGGAACACACCAGCACUCGACGGUCUCCCAAGACAAUAACUCCUGAAUGAUUAGUGCUUUCACGGGGAGUCGCUUUUUAGAAAAAAGAUUUUACCCAGCUUUUCCUCUUCCUGGGAGGUUUCU
Molecule: long non-coding RNA, 157 nt
Organism: Fundulus heteroclitus (mummichog)
Lineage: Eukaryota; Metazoa; Chordata; Actinopteri; Cyprinodontiformes; Fundulidae
Exons: 3
Source: RefSeq, a predicted model, not a curated record